CCUACGGGUCGCAGCAGUGGGGAAUAUUGCACAAUGGGCGCAAGCCUGAUGCAGCCAUGCCGCGCGUAUGAAGAAGGCCUUCGGGUUGUAAAGUACUUUCAGCGAGGAAGAAGGCAUUAAGGUUAAUAACCCUGAUGAUUGACGUUACUCGCAGAAGAAGCACCGGCUAACUCCGUGCCAGCAGCCGCGGUAAUACGGUGGGUGCAAGCGUUAAUCGGAAUUACUGGGCGUAAAGCGCACGCAGGCGGUUGAUUAAGUUAGAUGUGAAAUCCCCGGGCUUAACCUGGGAAUGGCAUCUAAGACUGGUCAGCUAGAGUCUUGUAGAGGGGGGUAGAAUUCCAUGUGUAGCGGUGAAAUGCGUAGAGAUGUGGAGGAAUACCGGUGGCGAAGGCGGCCCCCUGGACAAAGACUGACGCUCAGGUGCGAAAGCGUGGGGAGCAAACAGGAUUAGAUACCCCUGUAGUC
Molecule: ribosomal RNA, 465 nt
Filed under: uncultured bacterium
Lineage: Bacteria
Description: bacterial SSU rRNA
Rfam family: Bacterial small subunit ribosomal RNA
Source: RNAcentral